GCUAUACAUGCAAGUCGAACGCACAGCGAAAGGUGCUUGCACCUUUCAAGUGAGUGGCGAACGGGUGAGUAACACGUGGAUAACCUACCUCAAGGUUGGGGAUAACAUUUGGAAACAGAUGCUAAUACCGAAUAAAACUUCGUAUCGCAUGAUACAAGGUUAAAAGGCGCUACGGCGUCACCUAGAGAUGGAUCCGCGGUGCAUUAGUUAGUUGGUGGGGUAAAGGCCUACCAAGACAAUGAUGCAUAGCCGAGUUGAGAGACUGAUCGGCCACAUUGGGACUGAGACACGGCCCAAACUCCUACGGGAGGCUGCAGUAGGGAAUCUUCCACAAUGGGCGAAAGCCUGAUGGAGCAACGCCGCGUGUGUGAUGAAGGCUUUCGGGUCGUAAAGCACUGUUGUAUGGGAAGAACAGCUAGAGUAGGGAAUGACUUUAGUUUGACGGUACCAUACCAGAAAGGGACGGCUAAAUACGUGCCAGCAGCCGCGGUAAUACGUAUGUCCCGAGCGUUAUCCGGAUUUAUUGGGCGUAAAGCGAGCGCAGACGGUUGAUUAAGUCUGAUGUGAAAGCCCGGAGCUCAACUCCGGAAAGGCAUUGGAAACUGGUCAACUUGAGUGCAGUAGAGGUAAGUGGAACUCCAUGUGUAGCGGUGGAAUGCGUAGAUAUAUGGAAGAACACCAGCGGCGAAGGCGGCUUACUGGACUGUAACUGACGUUGAGGCUCGAAAGUGUGGGUAGCAAACAGGAUUAGAUACCCUGGUAGUCCACACCGUAAACGAUGAACACUA
Molecule: ribosomal RNA, 788 nt
Filed under: uncultured bacterium
Lineage: Bacteria
Description: bacterial SSU rRNA
Rfam family: Bacterial small subunit ribosomal RNA
Source: RNAcentral